UGGGCCGUCGCCAAGCGGUAAGGCACCGGGUUUUGAUCCCGGCAUUCGCAGGUUCGAAUCCUGCCGGCCCAGCCA
This 75-nucleotide transfer RNA is filed under the name Thioalkalivibrio denitrificans. Its description in RNAcentral is "tRNA-Gln". It matches the Rfam family "tRNA". From Rfam's summary of the family: Transfer RNA (tRNA) molecules are approximately 80 nucleotides in length. Their secondary structure includes four short double-helical elements and three loops (D, anti-codon, and T loops). The record is from RNAcentral. RNAcentral also lists the same sequence under 13 other names. Lineage: Bacteria; Pseudomonadati; Pseudomonadota; Gammaproteobacteria; Chromatiales; Ectothiorhodospiraceae.